CUGGGAGGACCAUCUCCUAAGGCUAAAUACUCUCUAGUGACCGAUAGUGAACCAGUACCGUGAGGGAAAGGUGAAAAGCACCCCGGAAGGGGAGUGAAAUAGAACCUGAAACCGUGUGCUUACAAGUAGUCAGAGCCCGUUAAUGGGUGAUGGCGUGCCUUUUGUAGAAUGAACCGGCGAGUUACGAUUUGAUGCAAGGUUAAGCAGUAAAUGUGGAGCCGUAGCGAAAGCGAGUCUGAAUAGGGCGUUUAGUAUUUGGUCGUAGACCCGAAACCAGGUGAUCUACCCUUGGUCAGGUUGAAGUUCAGGUAACACUGAAUGGAGGACCGAACCGACUUACGUUGAAAAGUGAGCGGAUGAACUGAGGGUAGCGGAGAAAUUCCAAUCGAACCUGGAGAUAGCUGGUUCUCUCCGAAAUAGCUUUAGGGCUAGCCUCAAGUGAUGAUUAUUGGAGGUAGAGCACUGUUUGGACGAGGGGCCCCUCUCGGGUUACCGAAUUCAGACAAACUCCGAAUGCCAAUUAAUUUAACUUGGGAGUCAGAACAUGGGUGAUAAGGUCCGUGUUCGAAAGGGAAACAGCCCAGACCACCAGCUAAGGUCCCAAAAUAUAUGUUAAGUGGAAAAGGAUGUGGCGUUGCCCAGACAACUAGGAUGUUGGCUUAGAAGCAGCCAUCAUUUAAAGAGUGCGUAAUAGCUCACUAGUCGAGUGACACUGCGCCGAAAAUGUACCGGGGCUAAACAUAUUACCGAAGCUGUGGAUUGUCCUUUGGACAAUGGUAGGAGAGCGUUCUAAGGGCGUUGAAGCAUGAUCGUAAGGACAUGUGGAGCGCUUAGAAGUGAGAAUGCCGGUGUGAGUAGCGAAAGACGGGUGAGAAUCCCGUCCACCGAUUGACUAAGGUUUCCAGAGGAAGGCUCGUCCGCUCUGGGUUAGUCGGGUCCUAAGCUGAGGCCGACAGGCGUAGGCGAUGGAUAACAGGUUGAUAUUCCUGUACCACCUAUAAUCGUUUUAAUCGAUGGGGGGGACGCAGUAGGAUAGGCGAAGCGUGCGAUUGGAUUGCACGUCUAAGCAGUAAGGCUGAGUAUUAGGCAAAUCCGGUACUCGUUAAGGCUGAGCUGUGAUGGGGAGAAGACAUUGUGUCUUCGAGUCGUUGAUUUCACACUGCCGAGAAAAGCCUCUAGAUAGAAAAUAGGUGCCCGUACCGCAAACCGACACAGGUAGUCAAGAUGAGAAUUCUAAGGUGAGCGAGCGAACUCUCGUUAAGGAACUCGGCAAAAUGACCCCGUAACUUCGGGAGAAGGGGUGCUCUUUAGGGUUAACGCCCAGAAGAGCCGCAGUGAAUAGGCCCAAGCGACUGUUUAUCAAAAACACAGGUCUCUGCUAAACCGUAAGGUGAUGUAUAGGGGCUGACGCCUGCCCGGUGCUGGAAGGUUAAGAGGAGUGGUUAGCUUCUGCGAAGCUACGAAUCGAAGCCCCAGUAAACGGCGGCCGUAACUAUAACGGUCCUAAGGUAGCGAAAUUCCUUGUCGGGUAAGUUCCGACCCGCACGAAAGGCGUAACGAUUUGGGCACUGUCUCAACGAGAGACUCGGUGAAAUCAUAGUACCUGUGAAGAUGCAGGUUACCCGCGACAGGACGGAAAGACCCCGUGGAGCUUUACUGUAGCCUGAUAUUGAAAUUCGGCACAGCUUGUACAGGAUAGGUAGGAGCCUUUGAAACGUGAGCGCUAGCUUACGUGGAGGCGCUGGUGGGAUACUACCCUAGCUGUGUUGGCUUUCUAACCCGCACCACUUAUCGUGGUGGGAGACAGUGUCAGGCGGGCAGUUUGACUGGGGCGGUCGCCUCCUAAAAGGUAACGGAGGCGCUCAAAGGUUCCCUCAGAAUGGUUGGAAAUCAUUCAUAGAGUGUAAAGGCAUAAGGGAGCUUGACUGCGAGACCUACAAGUCGAGCAGGGUCGAAAGACGGACUUAGUGAUCCGGUGGUUCCGCAUGGAAGGGCCAUCGCUCAACGGAUAAAAGCUACCCCGGGGAUAACAGGCUUAUCUCCCCCAAGAGUUCACAUCGACGGGGAGGUUUGGCACCUCGAUGUCGGCUCAUCGCAUCCUGGGGCUGUAGUCGGUCCCAAGGGUUGGGCUGUUCGCCCAUUAAAGCGGUACGCGAGCUGGGUUCAGAACGUCGUGAGACAGUUCGGUCCCUAUCCGUCGUGGGCGUAGGAAAUUUGAGAGGAGCUGUCCUUAGUACGAGAGGACCGGGAUGGACAUACCUCUGGUGUACCAGUUGUCGUGCCAACGGCAUAGCUGGGUAGCUAUGUGUGGACGGGAUAAGUGCUGAAAG
RNAcentral lists this ribosomal RNA (2330 nucleotides) under Staphylococcus aureus. RNAcentral describes it as "partial 23S ribosomal RNA". It matches the Rfam family "Bacterial large subunit ribosomal RNA", at positions 444 to 2777 of the family's 2925-position model. Lineage: Bacteria; Bacillati; Bacillota; Bacilli; Caryophanales; Staphylococcaceae. The record is from RNAcentral.